GGAUGUAGCUCAGGGGUAGAGCAUCGGUUUGUGGUUCCGAGGGUCGCGGGUUCAAAUCCCGUCUUC
RNAcentral lists this transfer RNA (66 nucleotides) under marine eukaryotic metagenome. It matches the Rfam family "tRNA". From Rfam's summary of the family: Transfer RNA (tRNA) molecules are approximately 80 nucleotides in length. Their secondary structure includes four short double-helical elements and three loops (D, anti-codon, and T loops). The record is from RNAcentral.